AUACGGAGGAUCCGAGCGUUAUCCGGAUUUAUUGGGUUUAAAGGGUGCGCAGGCGGCCAUUUAAGUCAGCGGUUAAAUCGUGGGGCUCAACCCCAUUCUGCCGUUGAUACUGGGUGGCUUGAUUGCGGUCGAGGUUGGCGGAAUUCGUUGUGUAGCGGUGAAAUGCAUAGAUAUGACGAAGAACACCGAUUGCGUAGGCAGCUGACCAGACCGCAAAUGACGCUCAUGCACGAAAGUGCGGGGAUCGAACAGGAUUAGAUACCCUGGUAGUCCGCACAGUAAACGAUGAAUGCUUGUUUUCGGCGAUAUAAUGUCGGAGGCAAAGCGAAAGCGAUAAGUAUUUCACCUGGGGAGUACGCCGGCAACGGUGAAACUCAAAUGAAUUGACGGGG
Molecule: ribosomal RNA, 392 nt
Filed under: uncultured bacterium
Lineage: Bacteria
Description: partial 16S ribosomal RNA
Rfam family: Bacterial small subunit ribosomal RNA
Source: RNAcentral